GAUAUGGCUCAGGAUGAACGCUAGCUACAGGCUUAACACAUGCAAGUCGAGGGGCAGCGGGAAGUUAGCUGCUAACUUGCCGGCGACCGGCGCACGGGUGAGUAACGCGUAUCCAACCUUCCCCUUAGUAGGGCAUAGCCCGGACGAAAGUCGGAUUAAUACCCUAUGUUUUCCAAUGAGGACAUCUGAGCUGGAAUAAAGAUUCAUCGCUAAGGGAUGGGGAUGCGUCCGAUUAGCUUGCCGGCGGGGUAACGGCCCACCGGGGCGACGAUCGGUAGGGGUUCUGAGAGGAAGGUCCCCCCACACUGGUACUGAGACACGGACCAGACUCCUACGGGAGGCAGCAGUGAGGAAUAUUGGUCAAUGGGCGCGAGCCUGAACCAGCCAAGUAGCGUGCAGGAUGACGGCCCUAUGGGUUGUAAACUGCUUUUAUAGGGGAAUAAAGUUUCCUACGUGUAGGAUUUUGUAUGUACCCUGUGAAUAAGGACCGGCUAAUUCCGUGCCAGCAGCCGC
This 513-nucleotide ribosomal RNA is filed under the name uncultured bacterium. RNAcentral's name for it is "bacterial SSU rRNA". It matches the Rfam family "Bacterial small subunit ribosomal RNA", at positions 15 to 518 of the family's 1533-position model. The record is from RNAcentral.